This 1594-nucleotide long non-coding RNA is filed under the name Cicer arietinum (chickpea). RNAcentral describes it as "long non-coding RNA (CARI_LNC001399)". The record is from RNAcentral. Lineage: Eukaryota; Viridiplantae; Streptophyta; Magnoliopsida; Fabales; Fabaceae.
GACAGAGUAUCUUCUGUAAAUUCAACAUUUUCAAAUUUAUAGAAUCCCUGUUUAACUUUCAAUUCAAUCAUAAUUCAAAUAACAUAACCUAAUUUCUUAAUACACUUCCCAAAAAAAAUAGACUUUCUAGAUUCUAAAAUAGCUGCAAUUUACAUCAGACUCAACAGACGUUACAAAAAAUGGUUCUCGAUCAAAGAGGCCUACUAAAAAGAAAUAUGUUGAGACUUGAAUCUAAUAACAAAUUUCUACUCAACUGCCUGCGAAUCUGAAAAAAUAAACAACAUAAAGGGGUAAGUCACAAAGACUUAGUGAAGAGACAACAACCACCAUCAGUUAGAAGGGAAACAAAAAAAGACACGAAUAACUGCUUUACAAUCGGACGACAAUUAUGUUAAACAAUAUUACUUAAAAAUCUAGAAAAUUCUAAAUUUAAAUAUAUACACAUAUAUAGUCAUUAAACUUAUAAUUUAACCGUUUGAACAGAAAUAUAUAAAAAUCCAGUUAAUAACAAAGCUAAAUCAAAAUGAACAACCUUAAAAUCAUCAUAAAAAUCAAACAAGUAACAAUAAAAAAUUUUUAGAAACAAGAGGCAGCUUCAUCUCAUUGAUAGCCCUUUCCUUCUAAGGGUGACCUUUCCCUUAGGGGUGGCUCCAUCUAUAGCCCUCUCCUCUCAAUGCCGCAACGCAUCAUCACAUAUCAAUUAGGGAGCUUACAUCUCGUUGAUAGCCCUAUCCUCAUACGAAUGAUAUUUCUCAUAGAGCGGCUCCAUCUAACGAGUAACUCCCCCUAAUCAAAACGAAGUAACUAGGUGCACGUAACACAGUUAACGAUUUAAUAAUUAUAACAACGAUUUCUCAAAACACGUAUUUAAAAUCAUUUCAUCGUAAUUCAUGGAAAACAUAUUCAAUCGCAUAACAAUUCAAUAUUUAAAUACUUUAACUCAUACAUAGAGCAAACUAAUAACAUAUUAUAUAACAACGACCAUUAAAUUAAAUAAUUGACGAAAUCGAGAUGAAUUUCAAAGGUUGAGCUCCCCAAAUUUUUCAAUAAAUAUUUUAAUAUAGAAAACAAGUAAAAUAAUAAUAAUAGCAUUAUAAAAAAUAUAUGACGAUGAUCGCUGUCAACUCACAAAUAUGGAGAAUCGUCUAAGUUUUCUCUCCAACAACUCUCAGAGUAACCGACAGGGUCAGCUGACAAAUCUGAGUAUAAAAAAUAUUUCCAAGACUUUAGAAAAAAUUAUUCUAAAGUUUAGCUAACUCUAGGAAACCAUAAAAAUCAUUUAAAUAUAUUCUAAGCAAAAAAUAAGAUUUUUAAACAAAACUACAUUUUUUUAUGAAUUCAUACUAAGAUUAGAAUUGUGCAUUUACCUCCAUGAGUCUCAAUAAACAACUCUCAGGAGAUUGGUACCCUUUUCUCUAGAGCACAAACCCUAACUCAAAAUCUUAACCAAGAGAAUUUGUAGGAGUAUGAGAAAUUAUGCUUGUGAAGAUGUUAAAUUCAUUUUUAAGGGUUAAGGGUUUGAGUAUUAUAAAGAGAGAAGAAGUAAAUAAAAGAGAAAGAAAAAAAAAACAGCAACAAAAAUGGGUGGGGGGAG